GUGAGCAUAGUUUAAAUAAAACCUUAGAUUGUGAUUCUAAAAAUGAGAGAUAACAUCUCUCUGCUUACC
Molecule: transfer RNA, 69 nt
Filed under: Nanorana yunnanensis (Yunan spiny frog)
Lineage: Eukaryota; Metazoa; Chordata; Amphibia; Anura; Dicroglossidae
Description: tRNA-His
Rfam family: tRNA
About the family: Transfer RNA (tRNA) molecules are approximately 80 nucleotides in length. Their secondary structure includes four short double-helical elements and three loops (D, anti-codon, and T loops).
Source: RNAcentral